RNAcentral lists this long non-coding RNA (601 nucleotides) under Eutrema salsugineum. RNAcentral describes it as "long non-coding RNA (ESAL_LNC002196)". Lineage: Eukaryota; Viridiplantae; Streptophyta; Magnoliopsida; Brassicales; Brassicaceae. The record is from RNAcentral.
UUGUGCUUGCGUCAUGCUUCUGACAGUCUCACCAACUUGACUUGAUCCGAAAUCCCCUCUUUCUACUUCAUCCUGCUGUGGACAGGGGAACCUCCCUCGGGGCCUCGACGAAUGCUCCUUUUGUGCACCUUCAGGCUUUCAUGGAUGAGCAGGGAGACCGUCUGGGAACGUCCUUAACCGUGAUAACUCUCGUCUCCUCGAUCCCAAGAGACAGCGGUCCGCGGAAAGGUUCUAUGCGAUAGAGGACCGUCCCUCCCAUUUCUUUGAUUAUUAUUAUUUUUGUACUGCCAAUACUUGUCGUCGUGUGUUCCCCUACAUGUAUGUAUUUUCGCCAUACGCUUCUGUCUGUUUCCGUCUCGAGCAUCUUGGAUCUACUCCAUUCCUGCUUCUUGCUUGUACUUUAUUUUUGUUUAGCUCUAUUUAUUUUUACCUUCUGGAGUUUUAACUGCCCCGGAAUCUCCCCAUUCUUGGGGGCCCAUCUUUACUUUGUGAGGGCUUGUCCUCAUUCUUUUCCUUCUUUGUCCACGCCUGUUCUGUCUUGCUCCGGGAACCUUCUCUCUUCCCGCUUAAUCUGGGAAUCCUACCCAGCGUCGCAACCCCG